RNAcentral lists this ribosomal RNA (497 nucleotides) under uncultured bacterium. Its description in RNAcentral is "partial 16S ribosomal RNA". It matches the Rfam family "Bacterial small subunit ribosomal RNA", at positions 28 to 507 of the family's 1533-position model. The record is from RNAcentral.
GAUGAACGCUGGCGGCGUGCCUAAUACAUGCAAGUCGAGCGAACAGAUAAGGAGCUUGCUCCUUUGACGUUAGCGGCGGACGGGUGAGUAACACGUGGGUAACCUACCUAUAAGACUGGGAUAACUUCGGGAAACCGGAGCUAAUACCGGAUAACAUUUGGAACCGCAUGGUUCUAAAGUGAAAGAUGGUUUUGCUAUCACUUAUAGAUGGACCCGCGCCGUAUUGGCUAGUUGGUAAGGUAACGGCUUACCAAGGCGACGAUACGUAGCCGACCUGAGAGGGUGAUCGGCCACACUGGAACUGAGACACGGUCCAGACUCCUACGGGAGGCAGCAGUAGGGAAUCUUCCGCAAUGGGCGCAAGCCUGACGGAGCAACGCCGCGUGAGUGAUGAAGGGUUUCGGCUCGUAAAACUCUGUUAUUAGGGAAGAACAAAUGUGUAAGUAACUGUGCACGUCUUGACGGUACCUAAUCAGAAAGCCACGGCUAACUACGUG